Molecule: transfer RNA, 72 nt
Filed under: Camelus ferus (Wild Bactrian camel)
Lineage: Eukaryota; Metazoa; Chordata; Mammalia; Artiodactyla; Camelidae
Rfam family: tRNA
About the family: Transfer RNA (tRNA) molecules are approximately 80 nucleotides in length. Their secondary structure includes four short double-helical elements and three loops (D, anti-codon, and T loops).
Source: Rfam by way of RNAcentral
GAGGGUCUAGCUCAGUGUUAGAACAUGUGCUUAGCAUGCAUGAGGUCCUGGGUUCAAUCCCCAGUACCGCCA